RNAcentral lists this ribosomal RNA (280 nucleotides) under uncultured Actinomycetales bacterium. RNAcentral describes it as "partial 16S ribosomal RNA". It matches the Rfam family "Bacterial small subunit ribosomal RNA", at positions 505 to 784 of the family's 1533-position model. Lineage: Bacteria; Bacillati; Actinomycetota; Actinomycetes; Actinomycetales. The record is from RNAcentral.
GUGCCAGCCGCCGCGGUAAUACGUAGGGCGCAAGCGUUGUCCGGAAUUAUUGGGCGUAAAGAGCUCGUAGGCGGUUUGUCGCGUCUGCUGUGAAAACGCAAGGCUUAACCUUGCGCCUGCAGUGGGUACGGGCAGACUAGAGUGCGGUAGGGGAGACUGGAAUUCCUGGUGUAGCGGUGGAAUGCGCAGAUAUCAGGAGGAACACCGAUGGCGAAGGCAGGUCUCUGGGCCGUUACUGACGCUGAGGAGCGAAAGCAUGGGGAGCGAACAGGAUUAGAUA